Molecule: long non-coding RNA, 204 nt
Filed under: Phoenix dactylifera (date palm)
Lineage: Eukaryota; Viridiplantae; Streptophyta; Magnoliopsida; Arecales; Arecaceae
Description: long non-coding RNA (PDAC_LNC022755)
Source: RNAcentral
CUCAACCUUAUACGAAGGAAGCAUGUCAUUCCACUUCGUAUAGUUGAGCGGACACAGCUGACCCUUGCGUGCAACCGAUCCUAAAAAGCUUGAUAGAAGACUUCCAGCUCUAUUGAUGGGCUGCCCCAAUUCGUUGCAUCGGAUGAUGAUCUUCUCACCCGGAGGAAGCUUCCACACAUCCUUUGCUUGAGUGGGUCCCCGUCU